CCUUCCUUAAAUUUAACAGAAAAUGCUGCUGCGUGUCUCAUUUGGCGGAGUGCAGAAGUACAUGAAGCUGCCUGAACUAACAUUCGGUGAUUUCUUGAGAGAAGGUUAGUCACUAAAUUUGGAUUGAAAGUAGCCUAAUCAAGUGGUGGCAUAUUGCAAUUGUUUCUCAUCAGAACAUUUUGUGCACUGUUUAUUUCUUUUACUCAAGUGAGUCUAAAAUGUAACAUUGCUGAAGACAGACGGUUGGACAUCAAGGUUUAUGACCAGUCUAACACAGAGGUCGACUCUGAGGUUUUUGAGGAGAUCGUACAAGAGUUCCAUGGACCUUUCCUAAUUUCAUUGGCCAAUGAAGCACCUGGUUACCCUCAGUCCACGUCAUCUCCAUGCUCUAUUGCAUCUGAAGACACAGUGAUCCUCAACUUCUCGUUGUGUGACCCAGCUGAGGAGCCAGUUGCAGCCGAAGGAAGUCAACCUAAAAGGCCUUGCCGCAUUAACUAUGAAGCAAAAGCUCUGAUUGAAAAAAUCUUGACGACAAAGCCUGGAGGUGACCGUGUCAUGGAGGAGUAUGCGAAAACGAAAUCAAUUACAGAUUCAACCAGAAGACAGCUCAUCAACAUACUUACUGCAGAGAUGACGGAAACACAUGGGACAUCGCCGCCCCGGAGUGUAAAAGUGAUGUCUGCACAGGGGAUUGUCGCUCUGUUUCCAUACCUUGAAGACCCAUAUUCACAGAAUGGCUAUGAACAUUACUACGAUCCUGAAAGUGGUUCAGGCUACAUUGCAUGGCGGUUGAAGACAAUUCAACGAAAAGCUGCUGAGGAAAGAGGUCCUGCAGUUACAUCUCCUAAAGGUAAUAUUUAUCAUGAGGUGGAAUUAUCAACCUGUGAAAUGUGUUUAAAGGAGGAUAUGAAACUGUGUAGUUAUUAACAGCAACAACAAAAUUGUCUUGUUCUAAAGUUGGUGGGCCAGGCCAUGGGCGUACUAGACCCUUUACUUCCGACAGAGUCCUGACUGACGAGGAAGUGGAAUGCGCUAUCGCUUUGUUGAGACACACUGCUGAUGAGGAGACCAUCCGUGAAAAGAUGAAAGUCAAUUUCGCAUACCCCCACGCCAUGGUCAAUGAUGAGAACAAAUCAGCAGAGGUCUUCUCAGUAUUUCCACGGUUCCUAGACACACCAGGACUGGUAUGGCAUUUACAUUCAUUGAAUACUGAGACAUAUUGUAAAAUGUAGCACAAGGUACCAACUCAGGUUGUCCUCCUUUUCUCCUUUUUUUCUUUUUCAAACUACAGAUGGAACAAGAUUUUAGAGUGAUGUUUGGUGAGCAGACUGCCAACAAGUUCAUGGAGAGGUGGCCUACCACUUUCAAAGCAGGAGUCAUUAAGGAAAGCCAUGGACUAGUCCCCUCCACAGACCUUCUUGAUUUAAUGCGCAAUGCUGAGACAUCUACUGAAGUUGAAAAAGGCUGGGACAGUGACAUGUCUGCAAUCAUACUGCUGCUACAUCUGCUACCACCAUCUGCACAGGGACGAAAGAGGCCAGGGAAGAUAUCAGCAUCAAAUGCAGUUGAUCACCUCAUCAAAUUCCAAAAGACGGGAACAAGCGUGCAGCAGCAUCUUGACAACAUCGCUCAAAGCAGUCAGCCCUACCUCCUUGCUCAGGGACCCACAAAAAGCAGCAUUCACUCUUUCUUCAUUGCCAUCGACAAGCAUGCACUUCCAUGCCAAGCCACCAGCUCGGUGGAGCCCUGGAUGAGCUCUUCAAGGCCCACUAUGUGUUUGGUACAUCUUACAGUCCUGCCUUGAACAACUUUUUCACUUUUCUGCAAACUUCCAUUUACAACAUUGACGUGGGGAAAACUAAGGAAACGCCAAGAAUUGCAGAGUUGCGAGCGAGAAUGGUGCGUUAGGCACUCUUGAAAUUAAACAAUGAGGUGCUUUCUUUGCAGCAAUGUCUUUGGUGAAGCAAACAAUCUAGUAAAGCGCCUCAAAGUAAUACAUGGACUCUGUACGGGAAGGACUCUUUAUCUUCAAUGUGGCCAAGUGGGAUGCUCACGUUUUUUCAAUAGUUUUUCUGGUCUUAGGAAGCAUCUGAAUAAGUGUCAUGUGAAUAGUGCAUGUGAUGUUAUUGUUGAAACUGAACCUAUGUAUGUUGUCCCAUAUUGUUAUCUCUGAGGAGUUAUCAGGAAAUAAAUGGUGCUACAGUACCUGAUGGUGUGUAUUG
Long non-coding RNA from Gadus chalcogrammus (walleye pollock), 2222 nucleotides. RefSeq lists it as uncharacterized. NCBI's taxonomy places the organism in Eukaryota, Metazoa, Chordata, Actinopteri, Gadiformes, Gadidae. The record is from RefSeq and is a predicted model, not a curated record. The transcript has 7 exons.